AGCUUUGAGUGAUCCAAUCAGUUGCUACAGUGCCUUUCACCUUAGAUUUUCUACACCGCUCGUGGUGCACAAAGAAUUACUCAUAAGAUUUCUGGAACCGGAUCCGUCUCCAAGGCUCUUCUACAGUAAAUAUUUGGGCUGGAGCAUUUUUGCUCGUUAGUUUGAGGCUUUUGGGAUAGGGCGACGGGGGUUUGGUUUUUGGGAAGGGUUGCCGCCUCCUUGCGUCUCUCUUCUCCCGAGCUGAUGAUUCGUAACCAGGGCGCACAACCCUUCCCUUCCCACUACACUGUAGGGAUUUGGAAUUGGAUCGUACUUGUAUCCUUCGUGUGAAGGAAUGAUUCAUCUUCCUUCAUGCCAAUCCAUCAUUGGAUUAUCCAUGGCUCGGUUUGAUCUCUCUCUUCCCGCCCCCCCUCUUUUUUUUUUAAUGUUUGAGAGGCGAUGAUGAUGUUGUUUGUAUCCUUGUGAUUUGGUUCAACCUUUUUAAGCGAUCGUUGCAAGUGAUGGAGAAUUUUAGAUUCUUGAUGUGUAAACCCUAAUUUCUAAUCCUGAUAUCUUCGGCUUCUUAGGGUUGGAAACCUUAAGUCUUGAGUUCUUGGGCUUGUGGAACCCUAAACCCUUGAUCCUCUCUUCUUGUUUUCCAUCCUAAUGGAUCAAUGGCGGGGCAGCUUGGAUGGCUGCUAAGGCAACUGCUGCAGCCAUUCCUUUUGGAGGGGUUUAGAAGAGGGCGGGAGAGGAAGGGAAUCAUAUAUUGUGAUCGACUAAGACAAAUCUGAGCCUCGCCCCUAUUUUUCCUUUAUAUUUUCAUUUUCUCGUUGUUUCUUUCUUUUAUGGUGAUUUUAUUUUUUAGGGUUAGGGCUUGAUGCUAUGACAAGGUUUUACAUUUAGGGUUAGAGCUUGAUGUUAUGAUAAGGGUUUACACUUGCUUUGCUUUUUCUCUGUUCCUUUUGUAUUAAUAUGUUAUUCGUUAAGCCGGCAUUUACUGUUACAAUGAUAAUUUUUUGUAAUCAUAUUUGAUUUUUUUUUCUAAAUUUCUUUUGUUAUUUUUUGGACUUUUCUGCCCUAGUUUUCCCUUGAUCUAUAUAUUGGGCCAUUUAUCAUAGUAGAUCGAACUUUGGGUAUCUGGAAAGCUUUUAAAUUGCAAAUUUCGUCGGUUUUUGGUUCAUGUUAUCGGUUCUUAAAUGGGUGGAUUUGAUGGUAUCUUGGUUGGAUGGGAGCCGAUUGUUGUUCUACGUGGUAUUUUUGUUUUUUCAAUCUUUGGGUUGUCGAUAGUUUUUUUGUUAGUAUCUGUUUUUUUUUUUUAAUCAUUCUAUUAGUAGUCUGUAACUAUUUCGCUUUCGUGCCUUGCCAUGGUGUCCGUUAUUGAAUUGAACUGGACUCGUACCAAGUUUAAAACUCGUGGGAAAUUAACUCUCUUGGGAAAGAGGUACAUUGAAUUCGUAAGCAUUCCUGUACAGGCAAAAAGUGGGUGGUUCUCUUUACUUCAGCUUUAUCGGUCAUGAUAUUCCUAGCGAGUCGCUAGAGAGCGAGAGACAAUCAUGAAGAUAAUUAUCCCCAAGUACUCAAAACAGGUGCACUAUCAACAAAUACUUGGAUGAGGAGUAUGAGCCAAUCAACAAAGUUUCAGGUCUCCUCGUAAGCAAAAACUUGAAAAUUUCCGUUCAGGGUGGCUCUGCCUUUUAUCUAUGAUUUAUUUACUUAAAACUAUCCACGCAAUUAGCUGUAUUCUAUCUGAGGAUUGUUCAAGUUGGUAAUUGUGUCCUUGACCAUUUAUGCUGCGGAGGUGCUUGCCCAUUGUGCAAAUGGGUUAGGUUGAUUUAUGAUCUGAUCUAAUUUGCGCGGAUUUGAUUUGAACUAUUUUAAAGGAUCUACGGGAUUGGAUUAGGUUUUGAAAUUGGAUCUGUUUGAUUUUAUGAGUUGGGUUUGGAUUUGGAUUUAUUGAAUUUUGGUCUUAAAAUAAAUGAUUUGAUCGAAAUCUAAUAAGGGAUUGGGACACUCAUAUGAAUUAUAGCUUUUUUUAACUUGGUCUAAGUUUGUUUAGGAGAUUUCACCAUUAUGUUUUAUUUUUGAAUUAUAGGUAAUAUGGAUGAAACAAUAAUAUUAUUAGUAGCCCAUGUAUAUUAGCAUAUCAAGUAUUAUUUUAAAAACUACAAUUGUAGUUUCAAUAUAUCAUAUUUGAUGUGAAACCAUUAGAGUAAGAUAAUUUUAUAAAAUUAUAGGUAAAAAUUGAGUAAUUAAAAAAUAAAAGUGCCAAUAUAAUUGUUAACCGCACAUAAUGUUUAUGUGUUAUGUGCAUCUAUAGUUGCCACUUCAAGAUAGUCAUGUUUGCAUGGGAUAAUUAUAUUUAUAAGGUUGUGUGGGUGCGUCACUAGAUAAUUUUGGAAGAUAAUAUGGGUGGUUUUAAAGAUAGAUUUUUAUUAUUAAAUUAUCAAUAUGGUUGGUUAUUUUGUUUGGUAUGUAGGUAAUGUCAUAAAAUUAUUUUUUAUAAUUGUUAUGAUAUUUUUUUUUCUUUUAAUGAGAAAUGGUGGAAGUGGUGUGGAUGUGGUGGUGGCAUUGAAAAGCAACAGGCUGGGGUGCGGUGAAUUGUUGGUAUAGGUGGGGGAUGGAGUGAAUGCAUGUAGAAUCGUGGGGUUGGGGGAUGAGGGCGAAGGAGUCACGAGCAAGAGGAAGGGGAGAGGGAGGGGGGGGGGAUGGAGGAGUUAUAAGUGGUGUCGAGGAAGAGGGUUGUGUAAUUUUUUUUAAGGUAUAAUUUUGUUCAAAAUUUUUGUUGCAAUAUUGUUAAAGUAGUAAUUUAUAUAGCUAUUUUUUUCUAAGGUUUUUUAGAUUGUUUCAUGGUAAGUAAUAUAAAUUCUCGAGGUAAUUAGAUUGCUAUUCAAAAAACAUAUCAAAUGCAAUAAUUAGGUCUAUUUUGAAUUGUAGGCAAUCGAGGUAGAUUGCUAGCUGUUGAAUGCAAUUUUAGGUAUUUGUAUUUAACCAUGCCCACUUAAUUUAGUAAGACAAGACUUCAAGCUUCAAGAAAACUUAUGCAAUCUAUUUCAAUUCGUUCUGUUUGGGCUAUCGUGAGUUACCAUUAUUUUCAAUUGAUUUUUGAGGUUUCAUUUGUAUUUUGUAAUAUAUAGGAUUCAUAAAAAAUAUAUAGGAUUCAUUGUUUGUGAUCCAAAGAUUGGUGCUAUAGGGGUAGUUUUACACUUUAUUUUUUUGGAAAGGAUGGAUUUCAACGAAGCUAGGUGCUAAUAGGCAAAGGGA
Elaeis guineensis (African oil palm) is the source of this 3243-nucleotide long non-coding RNA. RefSeq lists it as uncharacterized. The record is from RefSeq and is a predicted model, not a curated record. Lineage: Eukaryota; Viridiplantae; Streptophyta; Magnoliopsida; Arecales; Arecaceae.